GGAGAGAUGGCCGAGUGGUUAAUGGCAGCAGACUGUAAAUCUGCCGCGCUACGCGCUUCGCAGGUUCGAAUCCUGCUCUCUCCACCA
Molecule: transfer RNA, 87 nt
Filed under: Anaerolinea sp.
Lineage: Bacteria; Bacillati; Chloroflexota; Anaerolineae; Anaerolineales; Anaerolineaceae
Also listed under: 1 other name
Description: tRNA-Tyr
Rfam family: tRNA
About the family: Transfer RNA (tRNA) molecules are approximately 80 nucleotides in length. Their secondary structure includes four short double-helical elements and three loops (D, anti-codon, and T loops).
Source: RNAcentral